ACCUGGGUGGCUCAGUCAGCAGAGCAUCUGACUUUGGCUCAUGUCAUGAUCUCACAGUUUGUGGGUUCAAGCCCUGCCUCAGGCU
Molecule: transfer RNA, 85 nt
Filed under: Felis catus (domestic cat)
Lineage: Eukaryota; Metazoa; Chordata; Mammalia; Carnivora; Felidae
Rfam family: tRNA
About the family: Transfer RNA (tRNA) molecules are approximately 80 nucleotides in length.
Source: Rfam by way of RNAcentral